RNAcentral lists this ribosomal RNA (393 nucleotides) under uncultured microorganism. RNAcentral's name for it is "bacterial SSU rRNA". It matches the Rfam family "Archaeal small subunit ribosomal RNA", at positions 330 to 724 of the family's 1478-position model. The record is from RNAcentral.
GCGCAGCAGUCGAGAAACUUCACACUGUGCGAAAGCACGAUGAGGGAAUCCCAAGUGCUUGCACGUAAGUGUAAGCUGUUUCCCUGUCUAAAACGCAGAGAGAGUAAGGGCUGGGUAAGACGGGUGCCAGCCGCCGCGGUAAUACCUGCAGCUCAAGUGGUGACCGUUAUUAUUGGGCCUAAAACGUCCGUAGCCGGUUUAAUAAAUGCCUGGGUAAAUUGUGUAGCUUAAACUAUACGAAUUCCGGGUAGACUGUUAAACUUGAGACCGGGAGAAGUUAGAGGUACUCCUGGGGUAGAGGUGAAAUUCUGUAAUCCUAGGGGGACCACCAGUGGCGAAGGCGUCUAACUAGAACGGGUCUGACGGUGAGGGACGAAGCCCUGGGGCGCAAAC